Mastomys coucha (southern multimammate mouse) is the source of this 2454-nucleotide long non-coding RNA. RefSeq lists it as uncharacterized. NCBI's taxonomy places the organism in Eukaryota, Metazoa, Chordata, Mammalia, Rodentia, Muridae. The record is from RefSeq and is a predicted model, not a curated record. The transcript has 3 exons.
UUCUUGUUAUUAUAAAGAGCAGGCAAUGGUGGAAAGGGAACGAGGUCUCCAUGUCUCUUAGGCUGAUUCCUGCUGUCUAGGGGUGUUGUCAAUGGGGGGUAGCUGGCUUUCACCAUAGGGAUCUACUUGGUAAACUUUCGCAUCAAGUUCCUCUGUGAACAUCAUGGAAAGUCAAGCUCUUAGUCUGCUUUAAAGCCUUACUUUCUGAAGAUGCAGUUGGUGGUAAUAGAGCAGCCAUAUCUUGCCCUCUCAUCAGAUAGAUGUUCUUAUCUGGAUGAAUCUUCAUUGUCAUGAUACCAGCAGUCCAUAUCAGCAGUGUCAGGAUACCAGCAGUCCAAUUCACCAAGCACUGCUCAGCAGAGGCAGCAUGAUGCAGCAGAAACAGCUAUCCCUCUGCCAAACUGGCAUGAGUUAGCUGGAGCAACCAGAACCAACUGAAUACCAGAAGUUCUCUGCCAUGCCUCCUUCAAUUUAAUGAAGAUCAGUGAAGACUUGAGACUAAAAAAACUUGCAAAGAUAGCUAUGCAAGUGCUCCAUCACUGUCUGUUGAGUCCUACUUAUGCCCCUAAGGAGGUGCCAGAGUCUUCAGAGCAAGGAUUGUGUGGCAAUGUACCAUUGGUCAGGGCAAGGAUGUUGGAAGAUGCUUCAUUUGCAUAUUCAGAGGUUGUGGGGUUGGAAGUGGGGGUGUAAGAAACCUUAUAAGGUCAAACAAGGAGUGAAACCUGAUACUGUCAGGAUAAUAAAUUCUUCCUAGGAUAGUGGAGCAACCCCACUUCAUGGUGCCAGGUAGGGAAUGGGGACAGAGCUAACUCCUGCCUUCUCCAUCUAAGGUAUUCCAUGUUGAAGCUCUUCUGGACCAUUCUUCUACAGUCCAAAGACAUUACAGUCCCAUAGUUUGUCUCUCUGAGUCUGGAUCAUCUCUCUCUGAACUAUUGUUUCCAGCUCCACUUUACUACAUAUUUUACAGUUUCAUUUCUCUUAAUAGCUUCCUGACCAUUCUACUAUGUAAAUAUACCUUAUUUUCAUCACCUAGUCAUCAGUUGAUUGACAUUUAGACUACUUCCAUUCUUCGUUCUCAUGAAUACAGCAGGAAUGAAGAUGGGUAAAAAGGCAUCUUUGUAGUAAGACAUAAUCUUCUUGUCUUGUGCCAAAGAGUCAUAUACCUGGGUCAUGUUGUAGAUCCUUGUGUUUUUCUUAAGAACAUCCAUACUCAUUUCCACAUUUGUUGUACCAAGUUUGCCUUCAACUAGCAGUGAAUAGGUGUACCCCUUUACCCACAUCCAUGACAGCAUUUUGAGGCAUUUUCUUUAAAUCGUAUCCACUAGGUAUGGCAUAAGAUGAGAUAUUAAAUUUCCUGUCUAAGGAUGUUGACCAUUUGCUUGUUUGUACUUUGUCUUCUGAGAACUCCCCCUUAGCUCUAAGUCACAUUUUAAAUGGGACUGUGUGUGAAUUUCUUUUAUGUUUAGUGUUUCGCUAUUUUAUAUUCUCUAAAUACAAGCCCCCAGUUAAAUAUACACCUGAGAAAGACAUUUUCCCCAUUCGCUACACUGCCUCUACACCAAAAUAACAGUGUCACUUGGUGUACAGAGCUUUUUGAUUUAGUAGGGUCCCAUUUAUUAGUCAUUGGACUCAAGGUUAAUGAUUUUUUGGGUCAUGGUCAGAAUUUUUUUCUUCUGUCAGUGUGUUAAACCAUAUUCCAAACUUUAUCCUCUCUCAGACUCACUUCCUCACUUCCUCUUCAACAUACUACUUAAGCCUUAGCCUGAGCAAUAAAUUAAGUGGAGGAGAUAAAGUUGAUACAAAUAGGAAUGCAAGGGAUCAAAAUAUCAUCCUUAUUUGCAAACAAUAACACAUAAAAGACCCUAAAGACCUCAUCAGAAAAGUCUUACAGCUAAUAAAAUUAUUAAGCUAAGUAACAGGAUAUAAAACUCAUGCACAGAAAUCAGAAAUCAUGUGAUAUGCAAAUGACACACUGUAAAAUAAAUCAGGGGAACAAUAGCACUCACAAAAUCAGGGAAACACUGAUACAACAUCCUCAAAAAUAAAUCAUGGAAAGAGUAACACUCACAAACCUCUCAAAAACAUAUCUUGGAGUAAAUAACCAAAGAAGUGCAAAUUAAAUCUUUAAGGAACUGGAGAAAGAAAUGAAGGAGCCAUCCAACCUCUCUACCCUGCCAGACUCUGCAAAUCUUUAUUCAGGGUCUAGCUGAAGGACUCUGCCCUACCCUCCUCUCCACACGCCUUUCCUAAACCCCCAUGAUGUGCCUUGGGUCCUCAUCCAGUGAUCCACCUUAGCCUAGCAGCAGAGACAUGUGCCUCUCUCCACCUCUUGGGCUCCACCAGUAUCUACCCCGCCUGUCCUCUACAGACAGGCCACUCCUGUGCCACAUCCAACCUGGUUAAAAAACUAGCCUUAUGUUACAUGACAACCAAUUAAAAAUAAUUGUAUCUAUG